AUUGAACGCUGGCGGCAUGCUUUACACAUGCAAGUCGAACGGUAACAGGCCGCAAGGUGCUGACGAGUGGCGAACGGGUGAGUAAUGCAUCGGAACGUGCCCAGUCGUGGGGGAUAACUACUCGCAAGAGUAGCUAAUACCGCAUACGAUCUAUGGAUGAAAGCGGGGGACCGUAAGGCCUCGCGCGAUUGGAGCGGCCGAUGUCAGAUUAGGUAGUUGGUGGGGUAAAGGCUCACCAAGCCAACGAUCUGUAGCUGGUCUGAGAGGACGACCAGCCACACUGGGACUGAGACACGGCCCAGACGCCUACGGGAGGCAGCAGUGGGGAAUGUUGGACAAUGGGCGCAAGCCUGAUCCAGCAAUGCCGCGUGCAGGAAGAAGGCCUUCGGGUUGUAAACUGCUUUUGUACGGAACGAAACGGCUCUGGUUAAUACCCGGGGCUAAUGACGGUACCGUAAGAAUAAGCACCGGCUAACUACGUG
This 482-nucleotide ribosomal RNA is filed under the name uncultured bacterium. Its description in RNAcentral is "partial 16S ribosomal RNA". It matches the Rfam family "Bacterial small subunit ribosomal RNA", at positions 30 to 507 of the family's 1533-position model. The record is from RNAcentral.